This 28963-nucleotide long non-coding RNA is filed under the name Lactuca sativa (garden lettuce). RNAcentral describes it as "long non-coding RNA (LSAT_LNC005746)". The record is from RNAcentral. Lineage: Eukaryota; Viridiplantae; Streptophyta; Magnoliopsida; Asterales; Asteraceae.
CUUAAAAUCUUUCUUAGUGAAAGCAUUUCCUCACAAUCAUUUUCAUGAAGGAGGAAAUCUUAUGACACUUAGAUUUAAACGGUGUAUGUGUUCCUAUCCAUGUGAAUUUGUUAAAACCAAAGUUUACGACAAAUUCAAACUCAUAUGGACCGAACUUUCUUAAUCUUGAUUUCUUGCCUUAUGGUAGCACAGCUGCCCACCAUGUCUUCCAAGUAGUUAAGCAGCUCACCCUUUCCUAUCAAUGUACCUUUCAUUGAUUAAGGUGCUUUGCCUUUUAUGCGUUCAAAAUGAGAACUCAUAGAACUCACAUGCAUAAUUAACUCGAUUGGAUUGGCACAGAAACAAAAUAAUGUCAACACGAUAGGUUGUAAACCUCAACUCGUGUGCUAGUGAUGAUCGAUAAGGUUUAUUUGAUUUGUUCUUGAAACCUUUCAAGACCAUUAAGACUCCCACUGACUCCUUGACAUAUAAGAUUCUCUUGUCAAUAAACAUUUCUUGACAAACAAAUAUUCAAGAGUUAGUGUAGCUUUUAUCAAAACACUUCAUAAAUUGGUCCUAGUUGGUCUUUGUCUUAUCCAAGACAUCACAACUUUCCACAUUUGAUGAAUGUUAUAAACCUUCUUAAUACUUAUCACUCAAUGUCACAAUCUUAACUCUAAGACUUGUUUUGGAACGAAGUAUGAUUGACUUCUUGAUUUAACCAUUUCUUCAAUUCUUGAUUCCUCUUCUUAGACAUACAAUUGUACUAAGACUCACUUAGAGGAUCAAUUGAGAUAUGGUUCUUAAUCAUUAAGACCUAUCAUAAAGCAUAAAAGGUACUCUCCCUUCUUCUUAGAAUGGAGAAACUUUUAUCUUUCUGCCUACUUGAUUCUUCUUAUUCGUUCUGCUAUUGAUUUAAACUUUUUCAAUCAAUUCAGAAUUACACUUAAUCUUAUAAGUAUAAUCAUAUUUACUAAACCUUUAGUAAAUCAUGACGAAUAUCUUUGUUACUCUUAUGGUGGACUUGAUCAACACGCAACUUUGUGUACUCGAUCUCCUAGUCCUUCACUUGACACUUUGUCAAUGAAUUAGUCUAAUUUCCAAAUAUGAAAUUUCUCAUUCAUCGUGCAACCAAGUUGCAUGAUUCCAAGUUUCUGUCCAAUUGAAACUUGGGCGAUGAGAAACUCUCCCUAUUUGGUAAAUUCUCGACUUUCCAUAAAUAACAUAAUAAGAACCAAAUCCAUUAUUGCUAAUAAUAGAAACAUUCAAACAUCAAUUUUUCAUAUACGCCAUUGCAAGGAUAAAUAAAUAAUAUAAAAUCAAAAUUUAUUUUAUUGCGGAAAAAAUUUGUCCUUACAAUGCAAUUCAUUGAAAAACUAUGCUAAUACAUCUUUCUUAGCAAUCUAAUUCUAACUCUAAGUAGUAGCUCAAGAAUCUAAUCUUCGAGAAAUGCGAUCGAAAUCCAUUCCUUCACGGUUAGAUUCUGCUCACUUCUUCCCUUAAGCUUCCUUUCUUUUCUUCGAUCCUACAAAACAUCAAUUGUAAUCUUAUCACAUUAUGUAUUAAGAAUCUAGAAUAGAAGCUUAAAAGAGUUAGUUAAUGGAUUUUACCUAUAUUAGAGCCAUACGUUUCGACUCUCCCAUCUCUUAGAUCUCUUAGGUAAAUGGGGCAGCUUCGUCUCCAAUGCCCUUUCUCUUGGCAAUAAAAGCAAAUUGACUCUUUUGGAACAUGACAUGGAACUACUUCAGACAUUGCCUUUCUCUUAUGAUCAAACUUUUCGAUCAUAGCAUGUCUUUCGUUGCCAUUGUCUAUAUCCAUAGAGGUCUUGAAGGCAGAUUCACCAAUCAACUUUGCUUUUCUAUUGCGCCAAACCAUUGCUGAUUCAGCAGCAAUAAGCAUAUAGGUGAGAUCUAUAAGGGUCACGUCGCGGUUCAUCAUAUAGUACUCUCUUACGAACUCACUAUAUGAGUUAGGAAGUGACUGAAGAACCCAAUCAACAGCCAUUUCCUCACAGACAACGGAUCCCAACAUUCUUAACCUAUCAAUGUGUGACUUCAUCCCUAGGACGUGUGCACACACCGACUUUCCUUCUUUAUGUUUACUUGCCAAAAGGGCUUGAGUGAUCUUGAACUUUUCAAGCCUUUGAACUUGUGGGUUAGGGAGAAUAAUUGGAGGAGGAGGAGGAAGUGAAGCAUGAUUUCUUGUUCCUCGAUCGAAUCGUGGAAUAUCAUCUUCAUGUGGAAUGCUUGUUCCACGGGAUUUGGGAAGACCAUAGUUGUCGAACUUUGACAUCUACAAAACGGGAGAAAACGAAUUCAAGUUAGUUGAUUGAUUGAGUCCUUAGUAAAUCACCCAAAUGAGAUACUAAGGCUAGGACCCAACACAAUAUUCUACAACUCGGGAGAGGGAUGCCGUAACCCUAAUUGCAGAAUAUUUGAAGGUAAGUGAAUGACGAUUCACUAAUUUCCACCACGAAAAACGAAAAAGAAUUUAAGUUUUAAAUCUAUGAAAACUCCUAGAUCCUUUGAGAUUCAUUGAACUUUCAAUGGCAUGUUUAAAUCUCGAUAUGCCCCUCUUGUUUGUGACUGGGAUGCCGAGGAUCACAAAGCGGGUGUGAAUAACCAUGCAAACUUACAUGGUGCCCUCACAUGUUACAGUCAUCUAUUCGAUGUGCCGGUAAACCACACACGCUCCACCGAACUAUGACAAACAUUGAGUCACCCUUUGCUACCUUCACUUAGAACCAUUUAGUGUGCCGGUAAACCACACACGCUCCACUAACGUCUUCGCAAGGGUACAAAGUGUAAUUUCAUGGAAUUGCAUCAAUUCACUUUUGCCUAAGUAACUAAGAUUGGGAAUUUUAUGAAAACAUUUAGUUACUUUAAUAAUUCAUUAUACUUAUAAUGGAAGGUUUCGUCCUAUCCUACCCGUUCGGCUAACGACCCUCCACUAGUCAAGAGUGCGGUGGGUAAGAGUGGAUACCCAUUCAAUCGCCAUUUUAUAGGCAAUUUCCUUAAACACCCCUUAUAGACCAGCUUCGUGAAUGAGGCCUACUAACGGUAAGACUGACUUUUACUCAUUCAUAUAUAUAAUGUUAGACUUUUAAUGUUAUAUAUAGUAUAGGGUGUGUUUUACACUUUAAAAUACUAGGUGGUCAAAUAUAACAAUUAUAUUUUUAAUUGUAAACCAAAACUUUUAUGGAUUUAUUAAACUUCUUUUAAUUAUACACCUUAAUUAAUUAAUAAAACCAUAAGGGUGUAAUUUGAACCUUUUCAAAACAAUACUAGGGUUUUAGAAUUUAACAUCCUAAUUAAACUUUUAAUCAACUUUUAAAUUCCAAAACUUGAGGGCAAGUUUUGAAACUUUUCAAAACAAUUUAGUUUUAAUCUCUCUUAAAAUUUUCGAAUUUAUGCCAUAUAAAUUAAUAUUUUAAAUAUUAAAACUCUUGAUUUAAUAAUUAUCUUGAAUUAGACUAUUAAUUUAAUUAUUAAAUCAUAAGGGAUUAUCUAAAUCAUGAGGAUAAUUACCAUUUAUACAUUUAAGAUAUCCUAAUCCCUUAAUUAUCUCUCUAGAUUUCGAAAUUAUGGUUAGGAUAAUGCAAAAUCUAUAAUUACCAUAUAUAACAACUAGAGGAUAAUUACAAGAUAUGGGAUAAUCCAAAUCCCUAAAAUUUAGGAUCUUAUCUUGGGGAGGAGGCUAAUUUCGAAAAUCAUGGGGUUUUUCAAACCCUAGAUUUCGAAAUCUUGAGGCUUAAGUAAAGGAUUUGAAACCCUUUCAAAUUUUCGCAAAUUAGGGUAUAGAAACCCUAAUCUCGAAAUUUCUAGCCUCCUAGGGUUUAUUGGCUAUAAACCCUAAUAUGUCAAGUUCAUACAAUUGUAUAAUACUAAUUGAAAACAAGUUAACCAAAGGCUCUGAUACCACUGAUGGGAUUUGUACAAACAAUCCUAUGUGUGCAUGCAACCCUAGAAUUGGAUCUAUGUUUUCACUAUUAGAUACACAACAUUAUGAACACAUAAAGAAACCCUAAUUCUAGCAUAUAAGUAAUCAUAUUAACAUAAGAAUAGGUUUAUAAUAUUACCUUGAUUGUUAUGUAGCAAUAACAAUCCCAAAUCUCCUUGUAUUGACUUUGGAAGGCUUAGAGUCACAAGUGUCACUCCUCUAAUGGUUCACAAACACCAAGAGCAAAUGGAGAAGCAAGAGAGAGAGGGAAGAGGUAUAAAAUUCGUUUCUAGGAACCCUAGACAAGGCAUGGACGAAGUCUUAUGGCCUUAGGGUUAUUUAUAUAGGUGUAGAGAUUAGGUUUCAGUCCUUAUCCUUAUCUAGUUGCUUGCCCACCAAGCAACCAUAAGAUAAGCCUUGAAAACCCUUAUCUUUUAUCCUUUGGACGAUUUCAAGGAUCCUUAUCUCCUUGAAUUCGUUCAACCCAUAUUUAUUAUAACCAUUACGAUAUUUUGUAACUAUCACAUAAUUACAAUUCAGCCCCUCUAGUUUAAUUAAUUACAUUUGAUCACAAAAUUAAUUCUUAAUUAAUUAUUGACCAAUAUAAAUAAAACAAAUAUGAUUUCUCCUUUAAUAUAUUAUUCUUAUAACAUAUUAAUAAAUCAUAAUAACCUCUCUCUUUAUUUAUUUCUCCAAUCAAGUUGCUUUGGUGAAGGCAACCCAAAAGGACCAUGCACCAUCGGGUCAAGUACAUACCAAAAUAGUUAUGGACUUAGACACUAAUCCAACAGAUAUCACAAAAAAUCACAAAAAAAAAAUCCAACAUUCCUGAAAGACUCACAGCACAUCGAUCAUAAAACCUCAAAACAAAAUAGCGUGUAACAAAUGCCACCACCAUAUCCCUCAAUCGGAAACAUAAAAUAAAAUUAAAGAAAAACCUACUCCUUUCAUAAUUGAUUGCAUAUUUCUAUGUGUUUUUGAUUGUGUGUUCAUAUGUGCUUGUGUAAGUGUGUGAUUGUGAACAUGAAUCAGAAUGGAAUCGAGAACCAAAAAAGUAGGUAGAGGAGGAUAUCGUUCCUGACCAAUUAAUGAGGAAGAAGAGAAGAGAGAUUGAAGAAAGAAUAAAAUUACCUUCGACGUUUGGUAAUGAUGAACACAUCAUCAAAUGCGGGUAAUUAAGCUCGAAUUGAAGUUUUUCGAGCCCUAAUCACACCUUAAUCAAAUUUUGGGGAAGUGAUUACCUAAUCAAAGCUUCAAUUGGUAAAACUAGGGCUUCAAAAUUGGAGCACAGUACAGAAAUGAACGAAGGAGAAAUUGGUGAUCUUCAAUGCAGUACCAGCGCCGACGGAAGGCGGAAGUCGAGGUAACGAUUGUGGUAGUGAUCCAUGUAGAUUUUAAACAGAGGAAAGCGAGUGCGAGCUCUAUGUAGCAUAAAUACGUAAUGGAGAUGAUAACUAUAUUUUGUGUUUGUUUUAUUAGAAUUUAACCCUCAACUUAUUGUUCUUAUGCUCUCACCCCUUCACCUUUUAAUCAUUUCCACUAAGACCCUUAUUAUUACUCCAAACCCGUUUAUACCAAAUUACGAAAUUACCCUAACAAUAAAUGGGUAAAAAUCACUACUAUGAAAUAAUCACCCAUCUAUGUGAUGAUACAUACACAUCUACAUGAUGGCACAUACUAUCUAAUAUUUUUGAUGUGAAAUUACCAUAAUGCUCUUCAAUCGAAUAAACUAUCAUUGUGGCCAUUUACAUAAUGUGAGUUUAUAAUUCUCAUUUUUGUUUUUAAAUUUAUUAGAUUAUUACUCACAUUAAAUACAAGAAACAUAUAAAAAAUACAUAUAAAAUUAUAAAAAGUCAACACAAUUAAAAUACUAAGAUAAAGUAAUAUAAAAAUUUAAUACCAUAAAACAAAAUAAAAUAUGAGUUGACGAUUAAAACUAUAAAUUGAAAAAACAAAGUACUCAAUCAUAAACUAAUAUAAAAUAGUAAAUAUCUUCAUUAGAAAUAACAACGGUUUUCGAAUACAAUUUUAAAUAUAUACAAUCACAUAUUUCUACUUGGUAUAGUCAUUAUCUCAAAAUUUGAAUUGAAUGAAAAUACUUCAUGAGAACAAUGUACCGGAACGACAUACUCAAUCGUAUUUCCUUUGGAAUAAAGGAGAAUGUUUUGAUAAUCCCACUAUUCGAGCCCUCGGGGGCUCCUCGCUACCCUGGUGUCCAUUUCUGAUCCUCAGAGUGGUUGGCGCUGGACCCUGCACCGUCCUAGCCGCAAACAAUGAACAAUUGGACUUCACAAGGCCCACAUGAUCACAAUGCUAACAAAUCUUGUCACUCGGUAUUAGGGCCGAUUAGCGAUAAUCCCUCGUGAAGUGCCCAUCCUUUCCACAUUUGUGGCAUCCAACAGAUGAUCGGCAAGCACCCUCAUAAACCUUGUUGCACUUGCCACAUGUUGGAUUAGAUGUCUAAGCCCAUAACUAUUAUAGGUAUGUACUCGACUCGAGAGUAGCAUGGUCCAUAUGGGUUGCACUUCACCGGAACAAUUUGUAAGGAUAUUCUUUUGAGAAUAGUAUGUAUAUAGUUUAUUAAUAUAUUAUAAGUUAUAAUAUAUUAAUAUGAAAUCAUAUUAUUUAAUCAGUAUUGAUCAAGAAUUAAUUUAGUGAUAAAAAUGAACUAAUUAAAUAUGGACUCUUAUAUAUAUAUAAUGGGACAAGUUCAUUUAGGGUGGGCGAAGAUUUCAUGGAUAAUCCAUGGAGUUUUAACCCAUGGAUCCUAUGGAAAUGNUAAUGGGCCGAGUUCAUUUAGGAUGGGCUAAGCUUGUAUGGAUAGUUCAUGGAGUUUUUAAUCCAUGGAUCCUAUGGAAAUGAAUGGUCACGGAUAUUAGGGUUUACAUGAAUGUAACCAUAAUCCUCCAUACUAUAUAAAGAGGUCUUUGAAACAUGAAAUGGCACAAGUGUGUGUGUAAACAAGAGUGGGCCGAUUUCUAGUGUGAUUACUAUUCUCUCAAGUUUUCUAAGGUGUUUUGGUGAUUUGUGAUUCCACUUGAGGCAUCCACAUUAUUGGUGCUAGGCUCUUGAAGCUCCAAGAAAUCAACCACAAGAAAAAGGUAUGUCAUCCCAAUAAGUUUUAUAUUACAAGUACCCCAUGGUAUGUUAGUUAGGAUGAGAACCUUGGAAAAAUCAUAUUUACAUGUAUAAUAGAGAAAACAUAUAUCCAAGGUUUCUAGGGUUGCAUGUACACCAUAGGAGUGUUAGAAUGCUCAAAACCAUUCAGUGGUAUCAGAGCCUACGCUUGUUUUCAUUAUACUUGAUGCAAAAUGCUUGAAAAAGUCGAAAAACUAUUCACAAUUCAGUGGACUUGCCGAGUCCAUGGGGGACUCGACGAGUCCAAGUGCAAACUCAUCUUACUCAUCGAGUAGACUCUUGCACUCAGCUAGUAGAAGGCCUUGUGUGCAGAUUUUCGAGUUUUGCUGCUGGAAAUGGACUAGAAUCAUUACACAAAACUGUUUUGGACUUAUAAAACCUGUAUUUGAUGUGGUAAUGGUUAUGCUAAUCCAUUUUCAAUGGUUAUUAUCAAAUUUUCAAUUUUUAUAUAUGUUAAUAUGAUUCUUGAUAUUGUUGAUAUCGAUGUUCAUACUUAUGAGUUUUAGUAGAUCAUAGGAAUUAUUUGCAAAUUGUUUGUUAGUGUAAUUCUUGAUCUAAAUGCCAAUUAAUGGACUCAUUAACUUGUCCUCAAGUUAUGGAAUUCCAAAAGUCUUUUCUUUACAACCAAUAAACUCAUAAGUUAUAAAAAUGAAAAGUUUUUGAAUAGUUUCAAAACUUGCCCUCAAGUUUUGGAAUUUGUAAAGUCACACACACACACAAAGUUUAAUUCCAAACCCUAGAGUUUUAAAAGUUAAAAUGCAACCCUUAUACUUUAUAGUAUUAUAAGUUAAUUAUAUAUAUAUAUAUAUAUAUAUAUAUAUAUAUUUAUACACACACACAUAUAUGUAUGUAUGUAUGUAUAUAUGUAUGUAUGUAUGUAUGUAUGUGUGUGUGUAUGUAUGUAUGUAUGUAUGUAUAAGAUCAAGUCACUUUUACCGUUAGUAGGCCUCAUUCACGAAGUCGGUCUAUAAGGGGGUAUAAGGUUGUUGCCUAUAAAAUGGCAGCUUAAUGGGUGUCCACUCUCACCCACCGCUUACUUUACUGGUGGAGGGUCAUUAGCCGAACGGGUAGGACAAGGAGUAUAAUUCUCAUUAUAAGUAUAAUGAUAAAUAUAAAGUAACUAAACCUUUUUAUAAAUUCCCAAUCUUAGUUACUUUAGGAAAAUGUGAAAAUGGUGCUAACCCAUGAAAUUACACUUUGUACCUUACCAAGUCGUUGGUGGAGUGUGUGUGGGUAACCGACACACUAACAUGGACUGGUAAGAGUGGAAAAGGGUGACUUAAUGUUUAUCAUAGAUCGGUGGAGCGCGUGUGGGUAAUCGGCACAUCGAUUAGGUAAUAAAAGUAAGGGUACCAAGUUAAUUUGCAUGGUUAUUCACACCUUGUUUGUGAUCCUCGACAUCCUAGUCACAAACUUGAUAGGGCAAAAUCGAGAUUUAAACAUACCAUUGAAAAUUUCAAUGAAUCUUAAAAGAUCUAGGAGUUUCAAUCCAGUUAAAACCUAAUACCUAUUUCGUUUCUCAUGGUGGAAAUUGGUGAAUCGUUAUUCGCCUACCUUCAAAUAUUUUGUAGCUUGGAUCACAGCAUCCCUCUUCCAAGUUAUAAAAUAUUGUGUUGGGUCCUAGCCUUAAUAUUUCAAAUUAGGUGUUCUAUUAAGGAAGCUUAAAAGAAGAGUAUGUUGAAUCUGAUCGCGAAGAUGGAUUUCAUUCGCGUGGUUAGAAGAUCGGAUUUUUGAGCUACUACUUAGGAGCUAUGAUAGAUUGUUGGGAAAUGUGUAAUAGCAUAGUUUUCACUUGAAAGUGCAUUGUACGGAAAAGUUUUUCCGCAUUUUAUAAAUAAAUAAAUAAAAGUUUGUUUAUUUUAUAUUUCCUUGUAAUGGCAUUUAUGAAAAAAUGUUGUUUGUAUUUUUUAGCAAUAUUGGAAAUAUGAAUUUGAUUCUUUCAUUUGUGGUAGUGUCUAAAUUUGCCAAAUAAGGAAAGAUUCUCAUCACCUAAGUUUCAAUUGGAGAGGAACUUGGAAUAAUGUAAAUUGUAUUGUAUGAUGAAUGAGAAUCUUCAUCUUUGGAAAAUUAAGACUAAUUCCUUGUUCACAUGUAUAUAUGAGUCAAGUGAAGGACUAAGGGAUCGAGUACACAUUCUUGUGUACUAGUCAAGCCCACCACAAAGAUCGAUAAGACUAUUCGUCAUGAUUUACUAAAGUUUAGUAAAUACGGUUAUACUUACAAGUUUAAAUAUAAUUCUGAAACAUUGGAAAAGUUCCAAUGUAUGGCAAAACGAAUGAGAAGAAUCAAAUUAGGCAGAAAGAUAAAAGUUUCUCAAAUAUGGAAAGAUGAGAGAGUACUUUAGUAUUAUGUUUUGUGAUCAUCUUAAUGAUUAAGAAACCAUAUCACAAUUGAUCCUCUAAGGACAUCUUAGUGCAUUCCUAUGGCUAAUAAGAGGAAUCAUGAAUUGUUGAAAUGGUUAAAUCAAGAAGAUGAGUCACACUUUGUUCCAAAACAAUUCUUAGAGUCAUACUUCAAGAUUGUAACUUGAGUGACAUAUCUUAAAGAAGGUUUAUAACACUUAUCAAAUGUAGAGUAAAAUGUUUUCUACUCUUGUACAUUUGAAAUUGGUAAUUUGUGAUGUUUUGGAUAAAAUAAAGACCAACUAAGGCCAAUUGUGUGAAGUGUUUGUCUUGAUAAGAAUCCACACUAUCUCCUGAAUAUUUGUUUGUCAAGGAAUGGUUCUUGUCAAGAGAGUCUUAUAUGUCAAGAGGACAAUGGGAGUCUUAAACAUCUUGAAAGAGUUUGAAGAACUAAUCAAGAAUAAAACCUGUAGUUUAUCACUAGCACACGACUUGAGGUUUAUAACCUAUCGUGCUGACAUAAUUCUUGUUUUUAUGCCCAUUCUGGUUAAAGUUGACUAUGCAUGUGGCUUCUAUGAGUUCUCGGUUGCUUGCAUAACAACUUGGAAGACAUGGUAGGCCCUUGUGCUACCAGGUGGCAAGAAAUUAAGAUUAAACAAGUUCAGUCCAUAUGAAUUUGUCACUAACCUUGUCUUGUGAUUAUGGUUUUGACAAAUUCACAUGAAUAGGAACACAUACACCAUAAAAUCUAAGUGUCAUUAGGUUUCUCUCCGAUUCAUGAAAAUGAUGGUGAGGAAACGCUUUUGCUAAAUAGAUUUUAAGUAGAUAGCAAUUGUGAUAUUUGCAUUCUCAAAGUCGUUAGUGGAGCGUGUGUGGUUAACCGGCACAUUAACAUGGACUUGUGAGAAAUGACAAAGGUCUAAACAAUUGAGACUAUGAUUACGACAUCCAUUUUCAUAGUUCUAAAAUUGUUUAGACACACAUGUGAGAUGUCUAAGAAAAGGUGUAUGAUUUUCAUAAAGUUUUAUCAAAGCAUCUCGUAUCAGAAAUUUGAACUUUGGUAAGAAAGUCAGUAAAGUAUUGAUUUCUCGAAGUCCAACUGAUUUAUGGAUACAUGUCAAAGCUAGUGGGAGCAUAAGUGUUAUGAUAAUAAUUAUCAUGUUAGUGGGAGCAUGAUUAUUAUGUUUAGUGUUGCAAGUUAGCAAUGUUAAUUAUAGAAAACAAAAGUUUCAAUUGGAAAAAUGUACUUUGCAAGGUUUGAAAAGUUGUUUUGCUAUAUUUAAAGGAGAGGAAAUUAUACUUCAUUUCAAAUCUAAAAGCUUAGAUUGUGAGUUUUUAAUCAAAUUUAGUCAUAAUUACAUUAUUUGCGUUCUAAAAUUCGAUUAUAAUUACGACAUCCCUUUUCAUAAUCUAAAGUAUGAGAACAUGACAAAUAGAAAUAGAAAUAUUAUAGCAAAAGACUCUUCUAGUAUCAUGUCUUUAUGUGAGACAUCACGAAUCAUGUCUCAUAUGCUUUGGAUAUAGGAUCGAUUACAUGUGCUAUAGUAUUCAUCUGUUCUAAAGUUUUCCAAAUACCUAGUGCAUUAAGGGGGAAAAAAAAAUACUUGAACUGGAUAUGACUAAAAUGAUUAUGCAAUUGUCGAGGACAAUCUGAGGUUUUCCAAAGAUUGGUUGCUCAUGGACAAUUGGAAGUAUAAGUGUUAAUUUUGAAAGGAUCAUAUUGACAUCAUCUGGAAAGAGGCAACUCUUGUUCAGAAGUGAUAGUCAAAAUGGGAAUGUGGAAAUGUUUCCAUAGGUGGAAGGUAUUCAUUAAAUUUGUGUAAGAUUAGAAAACUAAAUGCAAGAAGGAUGUUCAAAGGAAUGUACUUUGAAUUUGAGACUUCGUUUCCAUGGAAUUGCUCUCCAUUGGAAUACUUUGUAAAUGUCUGUUGCCAAGUUGUGACUUUUGUGCAUAGUCAUUACAAGAGGAUCAAUGCAUAUUAGUCAGUCGUCAUAAAUCGGAAUUCAGGAAACAACAAAUGGAUGGAAAGAAUGAUUAUAAUCCAUGUCUCAGUCCAUAUGAUAUCUAGAAUGGAGAAAUAUAUGAUCCCUUAUCUAGUAGACACGUCAUUUGACUAGGUCAGAGUUCGGCAGUGGCUUUAAGAGCUACGAUUUCUAGUCGGGAUCUUGCAGUCAUAUUUGAAUAAUAGUUUUAGACAUAUCCAAGUGGGAUACUAUUGGAUUAGAUGUCGAAGCCCAUAACUAUUAUUGGUAUGUACUCGACCCGAAAGUAGCAUGGUCCAUUUGGGUUGCUGUUAGGCGUGUCAGACCUAAAAAAUAAUAGGGGUAUGAUAUACUCCAAAAUAAUCCCACUAUAUUGCACUAAAAGGUAGUACAAGGCAAGCAGGUUCGAUCCACAGAGACACGGGAUAAUAAGUGUAUACCUCUUUGCGCAAGGUACUAUGGUCACCAACAGUAAUAAAGGGGGUUUAGAGUGCAAUGACUAAACAAACAAAUUUAAAACACGAGUAGCAAACUAAACGAAUGAAUUAAGUUCAAAUUUUGUAAGGACUCCAACUCCAUGUAUGACAAUCCAGCAAUGUGAAUCAAAGAUGACAAGACAUUUUUUCAUUCUAUCUAAGUUGGUACUUGAAAGUGUUAACAAGCUCUAACAAUUUCCAUUCAUGACCACAUUAAUCAAUCAAAACAAGAUCAUUGAUUAAUCCUAACCUUACUAACCUAAUUGAAAUAAGCUCUUAGAAGUAGAUUAAAUGAUUGCAUAAGCUUAUUGUGAAUGUUCCCAACAACACCCAAUACUCCUCACAAGCUCGGGAGCAUAAGAAUGUGUGAAAAGAUUUACACUAAAUUCAUUCAUAAAAAAUCAAUUUAAUGCUUGUUACUUAGUUCAAUUCACAAAACAAUUACGGAUUUUGCAAAAUGAAUAACUUGAAUUACCUAACCCUAAUUCAAAUGGACAAUAAGAAUCAUUAUUAGAAUCAAACAUUCGAUUGAAGUAAAAUCAGUUUCACUAGAUAUAAAUUAAACACAAACAUCAGGUCAUAUGAUUUGAUUCACAACCAAAAAGUCAAAACAUGAAAUUACAGAAGUUAGGGUUCUAGCCACAGAUGGCUAGAACAAGAUCACAAGUCUAUAAGAUGAAAUUAAGUGUAAUCACAACUUACAAAAACGAGAAUUAAUGUUUCCAAAUGAUUCCUAAUCAAACCCUUGCAAAAACCUUCGAAUUCUCCUCUUCAAUGGUGCUCUGAUAUGUUGUGUGUAUGUAAAAGUGGCCCUCAACCCGUAAUAUGAAAGAUAGGAAAAGCUGCCAAAAGUUGGUUUUUGGGUCGAACACGGCCCGUGUUAAAAUAGGCUAAACUGACACCGGUCGUGUUCAGCAGCCAACACGACCCGUGUUGAUUUGCACUAAACUGACACGGCCCGUGUUCAGCAUGGUCAACUGCUUCUUCUUGGUCAAACACACCCCGUGCCCACUUUUCAGUGUAAAUUCAACACACCCCGUGUACCUCUCUGACUCCAAUUCCAAACUUGAUUUUUCCAACUUUUUCGUUCUUCACCCGCUCAUACCGAAAUCUUCACCAAUGAUUCCUGGCACCUCCCAAAGCGCAUUCUAAUCUCCGGUUUACCUGAAAAAGACAUGAAAGUGUGCAAAUAAGGUUGUUCUAAAGAUUAACAUGCAUAUGAUGAAAUGCAACAAAAAGGAAGAACAAUUAUGCUAAAUAGAUGCAUGAAAUGGGACUAAAAGGUGUGCAAAAAGGUGCACGAAUUGCACCUAACAGUUGCACUUCAUUCGAACAAUUUAUAUGGAUAGUCUUUUGAGAAUAGUAUGUCUAUGGUUUAUUAAUAUAUUAUAAGUUAUAAUAUAUUAAUGUAAAAUCAUAUUAUUUAAUUAGUAUUGAUCAAGAAUUAAUUUAGUGAUCAAAAUGAACUAAAUAGCUAUGGNNNNNNNNNNUAUAUAUAUGUAUAUAUAUAUAUAUAUAUAUAUGGAUAGUCCAUGGAGUUUUUAAUCCAUGGAUCCUAUAGAAAUGAAGACGGAUGUGUGCUGAUUUCUAGUAUGAUUACUAUUCUCUCACGUUUUCCAAAGUGUUUUGGUGAUUUGUGAUUCCACUUGAGGCAUCCACAUUCUUGGUGCUAGGGUCUUGAAGCUCCAAGGAAUCAACCACAAGCAAAAGGUAUGUCAUCCCACUAUGUUUUAUAUUACAAGUACCCCAUCAUCUGUUAAUUAGGAUGAGAACCUUGGAAAAAUCAUAUUUGCAUGUAUAAUAGAGAAAAAAUAGAUCCAAGGUUUCUAGGGUUGCAUGUACACAAUAAGAGUGUUAGAUUGCUCAAAACCCAUCAGUGUGGCUCCUCUGUGCCCCGGACCUCAAAUAUGCAGGUUUUAACCGAUUUGUUGUAGGAUGUGACUGAAUAGGAUCAUGCCUGAACUCGUUCAUCUGAAUCUCAAUCUCAAUCUCCCACAUCCUUUCGGCACAGUGAAGCUCAGCGAGGGUAACAUAACGCUAGGUGGAUACAUCCGUCUUGAGCAUGCUCAUGGACCUCAUGGACUCUUAGCCCAUCCUAAAUAAAUCUUAGCCCAAUCCAUAUAUAUAUAUAUAUAUAUAUAUAUAUAAGAGUCCAUAUUUAAUUAGCUACAUAUUGAUCACUAAAUUAAUUCUAAAUUAAUUCUUGAUCAACACUAAUUAAAUAAUAAUAUGAUUUCAUAUUAAUAUAUUAUAACUAAUAAUAUAUUAAUAUAUCAUAAACAUCUUAUUCUCAAAAGUAUAUCCAUACAAGUUGUUAGGUGAAGUGUAACCCAAAUGGACCAUGCUGGGUCGGGUCAAGUUGAUACCAAAUGUAGUUACGGACUUAGACACCUUAUCCAACACCAUGUAGCACUCAUGUAUGCUAACCAUACAUAACACUGGAUCCUAUAGACAUUCGAAUACUUGAUUAUACCCUAAGCCCACAACCAAAAAAUGAAUAGGAAAUAAGGCUAAACCAAACAUUCUCAAGCUAUAAAAUCUUAGUUAUGUACAACUAUGAUGCAUACACUAAGAAACUACAGUAAUGAUGUGAAUUUCAUAGAAGACGUACCCCUAGGCUAUCAGGCAUCAUACAUCAAGCAACUCUACCAUGCCAUUCCUAAAGAUCCAUAGCCUAUCACUACACUGCUAGAAAAACAGACUUUUACGACGCUCAUUGCGCGUCGUGAAAGGAUCAGACGACGCGCAAAUGCGCAUCAAGGAAGGCCCUGUCAUAAAGAGAGACGAUGCGCAUUUACGACGCUCAUUUACGAUGCACAGUUACGACGCUCAUUUACGACACGCAAUGCGUAUCAAGGAAGGCCCUGUCAUAAAGGAAGACGACACGCAUUCGUGUGUCGUAACCUUACGACGCGCAUGUUAAUGACACGCAAUGCAUAUCAAGAAAGCCCCUGUCAAGAAAGGCUAUGUCAUGAAUGAAGAUGACUCACAUUUUUGCGUAUCAUAAUUUUAAAUGUUUAAAAAAUAUAUUAUUUAUAGAUUUACUAAUGUUCAAAUUAAAUAAUACAUUAAAAAUCUCAUAAUACAAAAGAAAAUACCAUAAAUAACAAAGAUAAUUCAUCUCACUAAUAUGUCAAAUACAAAUAAUUAUUCCAAAAGUGAGUAAAUGUUAUAAAAAAAUGAACUCAUUUAUAUACAAUUGCAUCAUCUAACUUACUAUGUGCCAACAACUCUCUGUGUGUUUACUUUUGCUUGAGUCUCGUUUCCUCCAAAGCUGCUAGCCAUGCCAAAAUAUGAUAUCUUGAGUCUCGUUUCCAGAACCAAAAUCACCUUCAAUCACCCAAUUAAACUUUUAUGUUGGUAGACUAAGAGUUCCAGAAUCAAGUUUACAUCCAUCACCUUCAAUCACCCAAUUAAACUCUAGAUCUUCUGUUGUUUGAAAGAAAUUGGUGUUUGUAAUCUAUGAACAAAAAACGCAAAGACCAAGGUUAACAUUUGCUAUAUAGAAAUAGCUAUCAAUCAAACAGAGCCAAAAGUGUUUACCGAUAAAUUAAUGCCCCCCCUGCAACAGUUUGUCUUUGAUUCCUCUUAUUCACAUGACAUGAUAACUCAGCAACAAACUCAUGAGCUUUAGUAAGUUUUGAAGCAUAAUUAUGUUUCAUGUGAAGUACACCCCCUGGUCAUCUUCCUUGUAUCCAAUAACUAAUGUCAUUCAGUUGUUUCCAGUCCUCAUCAGUGAAUUGCAAAGCUUGAUUUCAUCACCACACAGUGAAAAAAUAUUUCUCAUUGAAUAGAAAAAAAAAGUAACUAAACACCUGAAGUACGAUGACAUGGAAGCUGCAAUCUAAAAGAUCAAUUAACAAUGGUGAAUAUAAAGUUAAUCAGAAAAGAAAGGCUUCCAUAUCUUCAGAAGAAAAGUUAAACAGAAAAAGAAAGGCUUCCAUAUCUUCUCCUGACUUGAAGUUUUGUCCUGAUCUAUUAGGAGAUUUAUAAUCCAAAUCGUACUUUGUACCUAAUACAAGAAAAGAAAUAAAUAUAAAUGUCAAGUAAUCAAUCACAUGAAUAUUUGCUCAGGUAUCAUAGAGAAAGUUGCUUUAUAUUUCAAUGGCAUACCUAUAACUAGGUAGAUUUUUCAAACUUGUAAUAGGGAGAAUUUAAGAAAACAAAAGUACAAUGAUAUUGUAAAUAAGUUGAUGAAAGUAUGUUGUUAUUUAUUGAAUGCAGCCAAUGUUAAGAGCAUAUGAGAGGAAUGAUAAUUGACCAAAUGCCAUCCCACUGUUAACUGUAUACACCUCUGACUUGCAGUACUUGAGGGCAAUUUCGGAAAUUAAUAAAUCAUAUCAGUAAAUAACCUUAAAAGAAUAAAAUGAAUGAUUUUAAUUGCUUACAGCCAUGAUGUUAGCAAUGGCGUAUGCUUCUGUUUCAGACCCCACUAUCUCCAUUUUUGUCAUUCUACAAAAGAAAAAAAACAAAAUCUUUAUUGACUUAUUUCUUGUAUUUAGUAAUUUAACCUUAAAAGAAACAAAACAAAAGAAAAAAUCACCUGUUUUCCGGAUGAAUUAAUGUAAAGAUAAAUAGGCUUAUGUGGAUUAUCAUAAUCCAACCACAUAAAUUGAGCAACAAGAAGCUCAGUCAGUUCAGGAACAAUCUACAACAACCAAAAUUAUACUUAAAUUCCUUAUAAAAAUAAAGAAUUAAAAAAAAAUAAAAUAAAAAUACAUUGCUAUUUCUUAUAGGCAUUCCUAGGAAACAAAUACGAGCAUCUAGAAGCAAUGAUGGAAGAUCUGGAGGCCGGAGCACUUCUAGGUCUUCCGGAGCAAAAUGAGAAGUUUGAUCACCUCUUAUUCUUUCAUAAAUUAUGACAACUAAUUUUGAAAACUAAACUUGAAUGUACAUUUCUAAUUUAUCUAUAUAGCAAAUUUAAUGUAAAGGUCUAGUGUAGCAAGAUGAUCAACUUGUUAUAUUUCCAAGGUUGGGAGGUGUUAAGUGCUUCUCCUGUGAUAUGUGAUGAUAAAUCUAAAUUAUAAAGGCAUGGGAAAACAGGUAGACUUUAAGUAUAUGCUUGUUGCUCCAGAUGUCAUGCACAAUGAAAGUUAAAAUGCAACAUACAAGGAAACAAGAUAUAAAAAAAUAUUGAUAGAUCAAGCCCUAGAACAAGUUUAUGUCUUCUAGCGGUAUAGUGACUUUCUUUGGUGCAAAGACCUUAUUCUUUUUUCUCACAAAAUCGAUCCCUAUAGAUGGAAAAAUAUAAAGGAAUGGUGAAAAUACGGAAAACAGAAUGAUAAAUAGAGAUAUUAGCCUAGUUUUGGUUUCAUUCCAAGUUAAAAAGAAAAUAUCAAAUGAAAACUUACGUCAAAUGAGAGUCAAAGUAACCAUUAAUCUUGCAUAAAACUAAAAAAAAAUACCUACAGCUACAGACAAGCACAAUUUACUAAACAGGUAAGAAAGUCUCCAAUAUAGAUUACCUCUUAUAUGCAAAAGAGAAAAACAACACCAAUACAAAUAGAACCCAGUCAUGUAAGUCCACUCUGAUAGAAACCUGUCAUUUAAAUGUUCUUCAUGUUUCCAAUGACUAUGUUUGAUAAAAAAAAAAGAAAAUGAACAGAAAGACUUCCUAAUGAUAAUAAUGAGGGUAAAUUGAUAAUUUAAACUCAAAAUGCUGCAUUUCGCAUAGGGCAUCCAAUUUGGAAAUUUGUUCAAUUAUUGUGGGAUGGAAAUAAUCAAACAACGUAUAUUUUAUUGAUAUUAUGUUGAUAAGUUGCAUGUCUUCUAUGUUACCUAUUUUAACAGAAGAUCUAAGGAAGACUGAAUAUACUUACUGUACAAACCAAAGUAAUAGGAAGGACAAUGCAGAGGAAGUCGAUUAUUCGUCCUCAAAAUCCCUCUUUUCUGUCAAAUAAAAUUACAUGAAUAUGUCAAGGACAACAUUAAUAAACACCUAUUAAAUUGCAAGGGAAAAGAAUAACAAAAAAGAAAACCCCACAAACCUCUGGUUGCUUUAGCAAUUGCAGAGCUUGAACCCUUGCAACUUUCCUGGUUUGACCCGUCCCAUUACCAACCAACAAGGUGUCUUUGAGCUGCAACCAUAACUCAGAAAUUACCAAAAUCGACAUUGCUACUACAGGUUUCCUUGGUGAAAAAAACCCACUGAAUCGAAUAAUUCUGCCAACUCACAUAGAUGGAAGCUUAACUUUAUUCACUUUUACAAUUGAAUAUAAUAAUGGCUCAAAGAUUCUCCAAACUUCAUCAAGAUUAACCAAAUAUGCCCUAAGUUCUCAUAUUUCUUCAACAGGAACAGGAACAUGAGACACCAGAUUGGGUGCACUUGUAGACUAUACGUUUUCUGUCCCAGGAGCACAUGUGACUUCAGUUUGGCUAUAAUAAUUUGUCCAUUGUUUAUUAUAAUCUUGUUGAUAUUGUACAUAUGCCACAGGAGUAUUAUUUUGAGCAGUAUAAGCAAGAUUAGAAUCUGUAGUGUAGUUUGAAUAUUGAUGAACAUAACUUGUUGAGGGUAUGAUUGAUUUGGCUGUUGCUACUGAUAGCUACUACUAGAGUAACAUGCAUAUCCUAUGUUUCCAUAUCCAUAUGGGUCAUUGUUCGGGUAUGUAGCAGUUGCAGUUGCAGUUGGAGUUGCAUAGUUAGCAUACUCUAAAUUAGCUGCUCCAGAACAUGAAACAGUGCCAGUAUAUUCCGCACUCAAUCUAUCUUGAAGGUUUCUUGAUUGAGGUUCUGAACGGUGAUCAUCAUCAUCAUCUAUCGAUAGAUGAUGAUGAUGAUGACCCAUGUUCACUCGGGUUUUUUCUUACACCAAGACAAUCCAAAACCGCUACCACACUUGACCUAACAUUAUUAUGCUCCUCCUUUAUUUUAGACAUUCCUUGAAAGUAACAAGGUUAUAUUAAAUACAACGCAAUUAAUAAUUAACAUUUACACAGAUAAAACAUUGAUCACCUGUAAAGCAGUAUGUACAAGUUUAUGUGCUUCAUUUCUUGAACUUUUCAAAAUCCCAAUCACAUUAGGUGCCAACUGAUUAUUGUUAUUGGAAGGAAAGUUGUUUUCAUGAUUAGAAGUCGUGGGGUCCACAACAAGCCCAGAAUCGGGAUUAGGCUUUUGCCAUGUAGGCAUCGGGAUUCCUGGGUAUGUGUUGCGUCGCCUCAAAUUUGCAAGAGCAGAAGCAACCUGAUUAAGAUUAUUUGUUAAAAUUAAUUUGUAAUUUGUAAAUAUAUAUGAUAAUAAUUAUUUAUGAAAUAAAUGAUACCUGAUCACUAGCUUCUUUGAGCUGUAAUAGUACCAUUGCAUAUUCCUUUUUGAAGCUUUCGGAUACAUUCAUGGGGACACCUGUCUCGUUUUUGUGACUUGAUAAGCUGUCAUUUACAAGCUUAAGCUCCUUCAAUAUUGCUUCCUAGAAUUCAUUCACAUCAGACAAAUUAGAAAUUUAAUUGAAUUUAUAGAGAAGAAAUAAUAAAGAAAGUAUGAAAUGAAGAGAAAUACCUUUUUAUCAAGAGCACGAGUAAGCUCAGAGAGUGCAUGUAUAUCAAUUUCUCUUGCCUGAAUUUGAGAGGCUGCUGCAUGCUGAUGCUGUGAGAUAAUAACAUUGUCUGCAGCUUUAAGAGGUGCACCAGACCGAUUUUGUCCCUAAACAACGUAUAAUUUUUAAUUUUAUUAACAUAUGUUCGGGUAUUUUUUUUCAAAAAUAAAUUUAAGAAAACUAACCAGUCGAUGGAGACCGGGUUUUCAAUUAUACCCAACACACAUGAACCUUCACAUGGAGCGGGGCAAACCCUGCCCAUGAACUCUGGGAAGUUAUUUGUUUCAAGAAGUCGAUCCAAUGCCUCACGUCAUCUGUUGUGGCCGGGUCGCCCGAUGUUUGACCGCAUCAGUGACUCUUGAUGGUCGGGUCGCCUGUUCGGCAUUUUCAUCCUCCUUCACCUGAAAAUCGAAAUUAAACAAAAUUACUAUUUUACCCCUCAAACAAAUUCUAAAGCAUUAUAAAUAAAAAAAGAUAUGAUUCUCACCUGAUUAACAGUGUCAAUCAACUGAUUAACUGUCUCAGUCAGCGACUUGGCUGCCAGCUUCUUAAGAUCCUCAAAAGCAUCUUUCUCCUUCAACACAUCUUCCUCACGAAUGUCAGCUUCUUCAGCAGCCAAAUCAGCUUUUUUUUAGUUCUUUUCUAUGGAUUUUGACCAUUUUCAACUCGACCCACUAACACUUAAUAACCUUGACUUGUGGAGAGAAAAUCCAUGCUUUAACCUUGUAUAGAUCAUCUCUCGUUUUCUUGAAACAAGCAGCUUGGGACUGGAACAACAAAUAAAUCACAAUUUCUCAAACAAAUAAAAUACAGGGUUUAGAGCUCAUUUUAGAGCCAACUGAUAUGAAGGAAAAAAAAACCUCAUGAUACAGAUAUGCCUUGACCCCCUUUAGCCCAUGCCACAUUACAGACCCAAUCAGCUUGUGGCUUACUACAGAGAGAACCUAAAUUCAAAUCUCUAACACACAAUUUGAAGAAAUUGUUGUCUUUGUCAUACAUGGUGUAUGCAAUGAAUCGAUGACCAGGUGAGACUUCUGCUACCUCUUCAUAUGCAUAACCUAAAUGAAGUCAUGUUAAUAGAUUAAAUGAAGUGGAAGAGAAUUAGAGAUCGUUGAAAGAUGUUGAAAUGAUACUGGAAUUGGAAUUACCCCAAAUCUUUCUGCUUCUUGAUUGUAAUCGAUGAGUUUUUGUUCAAUCCUCUUCCCGGAGAUGAAAUCGAACCCACCUGUUGGACUUUUAUGUGAAAUGAACUCUUCGUUUAGGCUAGCUAAUCUCCUACAGAGUAAUGGAUAUUGUUUCCCUUCCUCUACUCUCCUGUAAUACAACCUGAAUUCCACCUCCAAAUUGCCAAAGAAGAACACGGAAUUUGAAUUCGGAUCCAAAAGAAAUCAACAAGCUUCAGAUGAAGUGCAAUUUGAAAUUGAUGGUACCAGGGCCCCCAGCGAAAUGGAGGAGUGGAGAGCUGAGAAGACAUGCGAGAUGCUAUUUUUGAUUGGAGUUUGGAUUGAAGGCGAUCGGUGUCUGCUAAAAUAGCUUCAAUCGAAUGGCGCUGAUGUAAGGAGUCACAUAACCUUCAAUCGAAGGUGUUUUGCGUGAGAGGAGCUGUUGGAUCUCUCUGAACAAUUUAUUGAGAAGUGGUUCAAAGCCCUAGUUCUUUUCGUCGAAUGGCGCUGAUGAAAGCAUAUGGAGACUUGGCGACAUAGUGGAUAGAGAAGAGUAGUGUCUGAUGGCGCUGAUAAAAACAUACGAGACAAACACUCUUUAUAGAAUCCAUGGCCACUUAGAGCUGAUGGGUUUCGAUGUUGGUGAUGGCGGCUUAGGGCUUGCAAAGAGAAGGGAGAGAGAGUGCAGAUCAAGGUACAGGAAGACGAGUUGCUUUAAAAGGAUUGACAGCCUCACAAUAGAAUUAGGUUUCUUUGUUAGAAUAGAAUUCGGGUUCUUUGUUAGAGGAUUGUAGAAGGAGAGAAGUUGGUGGGUGUUUAAUUUUUUGGGAUUUCAUUUCCCACCAUCGCCGAUUAAAAAAAAGCAAGAACGCGCCUUCCUAAAAAAUAUAAAGCGACAUCUUUACACGACGCGCUUUUUAUGGUAGGUGCCUUCUGUGUUUUUUUGGACAUUAAUUUCAGGCCAUGCAAAAAUACGCGCGCUCUAUCCUUCACAUUUUGCAAAGCUGACAUUAUUUUUUAGGGCACGUACAAAUGCGCGUCGUCUAUCAGCGCGUGUCACUGUUUGCGUGUCAUUAAAGGCCUAUUUUCUAGUAGUGCUAGCAUGUUGUUCUAUCAUAAACAUCAUAUCAAAUAACAGUAGGGUAAGUUAGGGUAUACAUUCUUCCUUAACUGAUUUUACACAUCGCAUCCUACCUUGGUUACUUUUAAAAAAAAUUGCAAACCAUUUUUAAAACUCUUGUAGUUUCUUAGUUUGAGUCUGGAUUCACACGAAUGUUCAUCCAAUUCUCUCAAACUAAGGCUCUGAUACCAAAUUGUAACGUCCCAAAAAUCAGAGUAAAAUUUUUCAUUUAUGUGACAUCCCCAAAAUCUUGGCCAGAAAAGACCGUUUUUCAUUUAUGCUUUAAAAAUAUUUUCAGAGUAAAUCCUUUUGAUUUGAAAGAGUUGCGGAAUUUGUUCCCAAAAACAAAACAUGAUAAAACAAUGUUUACCAAAGCAUUUCAUAAAAGAAAUGUAUUUUUCAUUAUAUAAUCAAAACUCGGGGUGUCAUGUUCCGAUACAGACCAAUAAGCAUAAACGAUAACAUUACAAGUCAUUCAACAAAUAUAUACAUAUACAGACUUGUAAACAAAACAACUAAUGGUUCAUCCAUCUCAUGCCCUCGCGCCACUUCCUGUAAUACAAAUAAAACUGAGUGGGUCAGGCUUGGGAGCCUGGUGAGCAUAUAGGGUUUUCAACCCACAAUAAUAUAAUUAUUAUAUGUAAUCAGCAAACAAUCAACCCAAUUACCCAUCCCCAUUAUCUUCUUAAGGUUUUACCCUAAGAACCAACUAUCCUUCAUUCAUUUAUUCAUAAGGAAUUUGGCACGAAUUCCAUUGCUGCCAAAGCUUAUUUAUCAAGUACUAAAUCCAUAGUUAUCAGGCGCUAACUCCAUAGUCACCAAGGUUCACUUAACAAGCGCUAACUCCAUAGUCGCCAAGGUUUACUUAACAAGCGCUAACUCCAUAGUCGCCAAGGUUUACUCAACAAGCGCUAACUCCAUAGUCGCCAAGGUUUACUCAACAAGCGCUAACUCCAUAGUCGCCAAGGUUCAUCAAAUAGGCACGAAGUCACAUCGUCGCCAAGGUUUAUACAAUAGGCGCUAACUCCAUAGUCACCAACUAUUCCAUCUACCUAUGUUCUACCCAACAAUUUUGUAGAUAUAAAUACUUACACAGUUUAAAUCAUUUAACACCUGUAUAAAACUCCAAAUUCCAUGCCCAUCUCAAAUAGACAAAUAACAUAUAAACACAUAGCACGUAUUUCAUAGCAAAUACUUCAUAUUUAUGUGUUAGAAGAAAGUAACUACACACUCACACAUAUAAACAACAAUAUACUUAAUACACUCAAACCAUACUUGUAUUAUUAUCGUGUUUAUGAAAGGUAGUAUACACUCACUUGAUCAGAAGAUGAUCGGACAGCACUACGACUUGCAGAAGUAGUAAUCCUCAGCAGAUCUGGAAGAUCUCCACAAAAAUCGAACUUCUCGCGGGCAGAGCUUCGGCUCGGGAACCGCACUUCUCGGGAUCUUCGGGAUCUCGGGACUUGCCUCGGGGCUCGAGAAUAAUACCGGGGCUUCGGGAUAUAUCUGGCACGCAAAACGAUGCAAAACGGGAGCCUCGGAGUACGCGGGGCGUACUGCAGUACGCAGCGCAUACUGCUUCCGAAAUCGUCACUGCAUGCGUCAUCCGAAAUGUCGACACUCUUCGGAGUACGCGGGGCGUACGUCGGAUCGGACCGGUGACUCGUCUUCGGAUAAUGCCGGAUUAAAAGAUUAAUUUUAAUUACAAAAUAUUUAAUAAACUUCGGAAAUUCAUAACUUUCGCAUACGAACUCCGUUUUCGACGUUCUUUAUAUCCACGCGAAGGUGAGACUACGCUCUACAACUUUCGUUUAGACUCCGUCGGCUAAUUUUGACUUUAUUUUUAUUAUUUAUUUUUAAUAGGCCGCGACAGAAAAACUUCGUUAUAAAUUCAUAACUUCUUCGUUUGACGUCCGUUCUCGCCUAACUUUUUAUCGCUUCGAUACCAACAAUGAGAUCUUCGAUUCUCAUUUAGAUUGCUUUGGCUAAAAACCCCUCGAUCUCAAAUCGAGUAAAACAGGCUGCUCACCGCUAAGCCGAAACUUCGAUAAAUCAUAACUUCCUCAUACGAAGUCAGAUUUGGGCGUUCUAAAUAUAUUCGGAAACCUCGUUUCAACUACUACAACAUUAUUCAAAGAUAUUAAGUUUAUUUUACACUUAAAUUUUGACGCUUAUUUUUUUAUUCUUAAUUAAUCAAACCACAUAAUUAAGCAAUUAAGCACCAAAACACAUAAUACUCAAAUAAUACAAUCUUAUUAUUUCAAAAUGGGUUACAAAGGUUAACCUAGACUAUUACUUUGCUAAAAAUGGCAAGCCCGGAAACACAGGCGUUACAAUUUAUUUUCAAAACAAACCAAAGAUAAUAAUUGUUUACAAAAGUAGCGUUACAAAAGUACUAAUCCAUAAUCAAAGUAUCCCAAGAAUCCAAUAACAAAAAAUCUAAAGGAAUGUGCAUGAUCACGCCUUUUGUUUCCCUGAUCGUCUUAAGUACCUGAAAAAACAACUAAAACUAUAAGACGAAACUUAUUGAGUUCCCCCAAUGUACCACCACACAACAUAACAAACAAUAGCAUGCAUACAUGACCUUCAGCCUGACUAAACCACCACACAGGGCCUACAGACUAUCUGGACCGCUCAGAGCCUUCAGCAGGACUGGACCACUGCAUCGAAACUACAGCCUAUCUGGACUGCUCUCCAUCCUUCGGCCUGACUGGACCGCCUUGUAGGCCUUCAGCCUAUUCGGACUGCCUUAGGUAUCUUGUCCUUUAGCACAAGCAUGAUCGCCUCAAUCUAACUGACCAUAACUCAUCAACAUAUAUAAUAACAACCAAUAUCCAUCAAAUACAGGUAGUCCUACAGAUCUACCAGUUUAACAUAUAUCCAACAAUACAGGUAAUCAUACAGUUCUACCAGUCUAACGCAUAUCAGUAAUAAUCAGGUAAUCAUACAAAUCUAACACAUACUCAGCAUAAAAUCUAUCAAUAUACUAGGAUAUCAAAUCCAGUGGGCCGGCCUUGGUACCUUAGCCCCACAAGUAAAGUGAGGAAAACUCACAUCUUAGUCUUAAAUGACCGUUAAACAAGUCACGACUCUGAAUAUCAUCUCUAUCAGUCACCUAUCAAACAAAUACUGACCAAUUCUCAAUUAUAACUCAAAAUACCAAAAAUAACCAUAUGUCAAUCUUGGGUCAAAGUUAAAGUGAACUACAACAGGUGGCCAUGCCGUGGCCAUCCUUGGACAUGCUGUGGCCACCAAAUGACAAGAUAGACGAGACUCAGCCCAGCCGCCAUGUCGUGGAGACCCUUGUGUAACAUCCAAUUAUCACAAGCAAAAAAUUUCAUUUUAUUUAAGUAAAUCUUCCCAAUUAUAACUUUUUUAUGGAAAAAAUUGUUUAUUCCAAUUACUUUUAUAAAUAUCAAAGUAAUAUUAAAGCGCGAAAAUCUUCAUUGUUGCUGAUGAAUGUGUACAAUCACGCCUUCGCCUUCCCAUGAUGACUGAUGAUACCUGAAGCAAUAAGCAACUGGGUAAGCACAAAUCUUAGUGAGUUCCCCCCCCCCCCCAAAAAAAAUACCCCAUACGAUAAACAUACACGCAUCCAUCGGGUCCACUUAGCCAUAGGGCUGGAAUACCCAGGAUUUGUUGGCCUACCGCCUUAACCCAACUGCUCUUCCCAAGCCUCCGUGCCUCCGACUUACAUCCAGCUCGCAGCGGGUAUCUUGGCCAACAUCACAAAGCAGGACCGCCUCAACCCACCACUAUCAGAUGUCGACAUGUAAAAAACCAAGGAUCAAGUAGGCACAUAAUACAGGAAAACACCAAUCAUACAGCUCACUACUGCCUACUACUCCUCUCACAACAUACAGUCCUGCUACCAGCUAACCUCCAUGAAAUGUGUAACCAUAAGUAACUAGAGGAUGAACAUAUGAUCCUACUCUAGAGCGACAACCAAACAAGGAACAUGCAAGAAAGCCUAGAUCAAGAUUUCUCAAGCUAUCCUACAUGACCACAGACAGUCCCUAGGGCACUCCACCAAAUGAUAACCAACAAGUACAAAUUGAUGGGUUUGGUCAUAAGACAUCCUAUGUGCUCAUACAAACCCUAAUGCUUGGAUCUAGAUUUCUCUAUUGUACAUGCUUUGAAUCCAAGACUAUAAACCCUAAUUCUAGCAUAUGGAAAUCAAUAUUAACAUAUAAUUAGGUUUAAGAUAGUACCUUGAUUGUUAUGUAGCAAUAAAAAUCCCAAUUCCUCCUUGAAUUGACUUUGGAAGGCUUAGAGUCACAAGUGUCACUCCUCUAAUGGCUCACAAACACCAUAAGCAAGAGGUUGAAGAGGAGAGAGGAUGGAGGCUGCCUAAAACGUGUUCUAACCCUAGAAAAGAAGUUUUCCCACGUUUUUGAGCCUUAAGGGUUCUAUAUAUAGUGAGGCUAUUAGGGUUAUCUAACAAGGAAACCCUAAUUUGGUUGCUUAAGCCCUAAGCAACUCAUAGAUUCCUUUAAUCAAGCCCUUGGACGAUUUCCUUAUGGGCUUCCCAUAAGAAUUCGUCCACCUCUUGAUUUAAGACAAUCCAUGGCCCAAAUUGCAAUUAUCUUAUAAUUACAAUUCCAGUCCCUUAAGUUUCAUUAAUCUCUUUUAGUCACAAAACUAAUUACCAAUUAAUUAUUGACUAAUAUAAUUAAAAAAUAUGAUUUCUCCUUUAAUAUAUUAUUCCCAUAAUAUAUUAAUAAAUCAUAUUUAAUCCUUUAUCUCCAUAAUUCAUCCUAUCAAGUUGCUUUGGUGAAGGCAACCCAAAAGGACCAUGCACCAUCGGGUCAAGUACAUACCAAAAUAGUUAUGGACUUAGACACUAAUCCAACAGUCUCCCACUUGGAUAAGUCUAAUAACUAUUCUGCGUAUGACUUCAGAUCCUGAUCUGCAAUCGUAGCUUUCCAAAGCCGCUGUCAACUCUGAUCCUAUCAGAUACGCGUGUCUUUAGAUAAGGGAUCAUAUAUUCCUCCAUUCUAGAUAUCAUAUGAGAUAUGAUUUCAAAUCAUUCUCUUUGUACUAUAUCUCGAUUUCCGAUUUAUGACGACUGACUAAUUGAACAAAUCAAAUUAGCCCUAGCCCGGCCGAGCAUUUACGUUUGUCAUCACUAAAUCAUCGAGGGGCCCAAAGAUAUCGCUUUUAUCCUACUUUGAAUAAAAGGAACGGAUAAACUUUGAUACAAUGCUUGCUUGCACUCACUCACCGAAUCACACACAACAAUAUGUUUUAUAACACCAAGUUACUAGUGCGUUUACAUAUUAUCAAUGUGCAACCGAUUUGCAAGAUACAACUCACACAUCUCGGUUUCAAGAAUAUAAGAUGUUAUCGUCUCACCAAUCACUCGUGAUACAAUUCAUGGAGUGAUCUAAGUGAGCGUGGGUUUAAUCCAAUGCUCAAAUUCUCAUUCAUAAGCACUCAUGAACGUUGCAGCAAACAUUUGCUUAUGUCUAAUACUCUUUUAGACAAUCCACACACCAAUUCAUGACAGUCUUCAUUCAUACCUACUUCCAACAUAUGAACGACUUUGGCCCAUUCGAAUAAUUCGAUUAUUCUUAAUAAUUUCAAUUAUUCCGAAAGUCAAAACAUGCAAAUGUGAAACACAAGAAUAAUACUAAUCCCAUAUGGCCUCAAACCUUUGAGUAUAAAUAAAACUCCUUUUAUUUAUCACCAUAUCGAUUACUCAUUAUUUGUCGUUUCGGGUAAUCAACUUCUUACUUGAAUUAUUACACUUGUCCCAUGCUCCUAGCAUGCACACAAUGUUUACCUAUGGUUCUUACUUUGUGAAAUAGAUCAAAUUGAACACAUUUCCAAUCAUUCUCAUUUCACAACUCCAAAUCCUUUUUCAUAAGUGUAAGAAUAUCAAAUUCUUGCUACUUAUAGAAUAUGCUAGAUUCUAACAUUUUAUGCAAUGAUCCUUUCGUAAUGUCACUGCACCAAAGUCACAAAGACUAUUGCCAAUGAUAUUACAAAGUCCUCUAUCGGAGAUUGUUACAAGACAAUUCCUUAGAUAUGAUGUCUCUCACUCAAAGUACAUUCCUUUGAACAUCCUUUUGCAUAAAAGUUUCUAAUCUAGACAUAGAUUUUCAAUAUUCAAUUCCCAAUAUGGACACGUUUCCAUAUUUUCCAUAUGACAACUCAUUCUUAAUAGAAUCUUAUCUAUUCAUAAUAAUGUCGAUAUGGUCCAUCCAAUAUGGAAACAUUUCCAUAUUUUCCAAUACUAUACUUCCAACUACUCACAAGCGACCAAUCCUCGUCGAACUUUGGAUUGUCCUUUGAUAGUUGUUUAAUUAUUUUAGUCAAAACCGAUUCUAGUCCUUUUUCCCUCUAAAUGCGCUAGACAUUUGGAAAAUUUUAGAAUGGUCAAACAUUAAAGCAUUUGCAAUCGAUCCUAUACCCGAAGCGUAUGGGACACGACGCAUAAUGUUUUAUUUGCUAUGUUCUCAAAAUUCGAAUUGUGAAGAGGGAUGCCGUAAUCAUAAUCGAAAUUUUAAGAACACACUUUGUACCUUUGACUAAAUUUUAUUAACAUUUCUCAACCUAAACCUUUAGAUUUGAAAUGAAGCAUAAUAUUCUCUCCCUUAAUUAUAGCAAAACAACUUUUCAACUAUUGCGACUUUGCAAAGUAUGACUCUUGUUUUCUAUAAUUAAUAUUGCUAACCUUGCAAUACUUUCCUUAAUAAUCAUACAAUCAUAACUUUUAUGCUCCCACUAUCAUGAUGAUUAUUAUAAAACAUAACACUUAUGCUCCCACUAGCUUCGACAUGUAUUCAUAAACAUCUUAACUUUCAGAAAAACAAUGCUUAUUGAAUUUCUUAAGUUCAUGUUUCUAAUACUUAGUGCUUUGAUAAUCUUUUAUCAAGGCUUCUUGAACUUAUACACCUUUGCCUUCGAUAGUUCAUAUGUGUGUCUAAACAAUUAAGACUAAUUGCCAAACCUCACAAUUCAAAUUAUGGAAAGGGAUGCCGUAACCAUAAUUGAAUUCGAGAAUGCAAUUUUACAAUCACUAUCUUCUUAAAAUCUGUCUUAGUGAAAGCAUUUCCUCACAAUCAUUUUCAUGAAGGAGGAAAUCUUAUGACACUUAGAUUUAAACAGUGUAUUUGUUCCUAUCCAUGUGAAUUUGUCAAAACCAAAGUUUACGACAAAUUCAAACUCAUAUGGACCGAACUUUCUUAAUCUUGAUUUCUUGCCUUAUGGUAGCACAGCUGCCCACCAUAUCUUCCAAGUAGUUAAGCAGCUCACCCUUUCCUAUCAAUGUACCUUUCAUUGAUUAAGGU